UAAGGAAUAUUGGUCAAUGGAGGCAACUCUGAACCAGCCAUGCCGCGUGCAGGAAGACGGCCCUCUGGUUUGUAAGCUGCUUUUAUUCGGGAAUAAACCUGCUUACGUGUAAGUAGCUGAAUGUACCGAAGGAAUAAGGAUCCGCUAACUCCGUGCCAGCAGCCGCGGUCAUACGGAGGAUCCAAGCGUUAACCGGAUUUAUUGGGUUUAAAGGGUGCGUAGGCGGCUUAUUAAGUCAGGGGUGAAAGACGGUGGCUCAACCAUCGCAGUGCCCUUGAUACUGAUGAGCUUGAAUGAACUAGAGGUAGGCGAAAUGUGACAAGUAGAGGUGAAAUGCAUAGAUAUGUCACAGAACACCGAUUGCGAAGGCAGCUUACGAUGGUUUUAUUGACGCUGAGGCACGAAAGCGUGGGGAUCAAACA
RNAcentral lists this ribosomal RNA (422 nucleotides) under uncultured bacterium. Its description in RNAcentral is "bacterial SSU rRNA". It matches the Rfam family "Bacterial small subunit ribosomal RNA", at positions 355 to 774 of the family's 1533-position model. The record is from RNAcentral.